This 425-nucleotide long non-coding RNA is filed under the name Panax ginseng (ginseng). Its description in RNAcentral is "long non-coding RNA (PGIN_LNC001852)". The record is from RNAcentral. Lineage: Eukaryota; Viridiplantae; Streptophyta; Magnoliopsida; Apiales; Araliaceae.
AGAAAUGUUUGUUCAUGUUUAAAACUUGUUCAGUCAAAAGUUUGUUCCUGCUAGUUCUCAAUUAUAUUGAUGAAUUAUAGCCAGCUUAUUAUUCAUACUCUUCAAUCAUGAUAUAUCCUUAUAUUGUUGUAUUUAAACUUGCCGGGCAACUUUCAUGCUCACCCUUGCUAUAUCAUGAUAAAACAUUGCAGAUAAGGCGAAUGCAUUCGGAUACAGGAAAAGGUUAAUGCCAAGUACAGCUUGGGAUAAAUUGUGCGGCUAGUUUGUAAUAGUAUAGUUUGAUAAAUGUUAGAUCAUUUAUGAUUGAUGUAUAAGUUAAGGUUACUCGAUUUUGGGGGAAAAGUGUGUAAAUUUAAUGUAUAAACAAUUUAUGUUUAUAUCUUCCGCAAACAGUUAUAGAAAUAGUGUACCAGAUUCGCGGCGAU